GUGAUUUCAGGACUUGGCAACAGCCUUACUCGCCGUGCUAGGUAACGAGAAAGCCAGCAGAGAGAUAAUCAACAUCUCAGGAGAGAAGUAUGUCACCUUUGAUGGGUUAGCAAGAGCUUGCGCAAAGGCUGGUGGGUUUCCAGAGCCAGAGAUUGUUCACUACAACCCGAAAGAGUUUGACUUUGGGAAGACGAAGGCGUUCCCUUUCCGUGACCAGCAUUUCUUUGCAUCGGUGUAGAAAGCAAAGCAUGCCCUGGGAUGGAAACCAGAGUUCGACCUAGUGGAGGGUCUCACUGACUCGUACAACCUUGAUUUUGGUCGUGGAACUUUCCGGAAAGAAGCGGAUUUCACUACUGAUGACAUGAUUUUAAGCAAGAAACUUGUAACUCAGUCCUAAGAACUACUCACAUAGAUAGAAACAUUCUUGGCUUGUACGGUUUCUCAAGUUUAAUGUUGUCUCAAGUGUGUUUUGGUUCGGAUUUUAUCUGAAUUUUCUAAAAAGAGGCGGUAACGGAACAAGUCUGAACUAAAAUAACCAAAUUUACUGACUAAACCAAAACCAAUUUGGUAUCACCUUUCUAAACCUGAAUCUAACCGAAAUUUCAAAAAUCAUAGCA
Long non-coding RNA from Brassica napus (rape), 617 nucleotides. RefSeq lists it as uncharacterized. Lineage: Eukaryota; Viridiplantae; Streptophyta; Magnoliopsida; Brassicales; Brassicaceae. The record is from RefSeq and is a predicted model, not a curated record. The transcript has 3 exons.